AGAUGAUCCUCGGUAAGCAUGUGGGCCUGAUCCAGUCUGUCCAGGAGCCUUCAGACAGAACUGAGUUUCCUUGAGAAAGAAGAAACUGCCUGUACCUGAAGAAAUCUAAGACAAAGACACCUCAAGUCAGAACUGUGGAAUCAUGAAUGCCAUGUUACUCCAAUGAUGAAGAAAAGGGAAGAGACAGCCCAACCUCAGGUAGCCGUGGUUUCCCGAGGGUGUGUGCUGGUGUGAAAGUCCCCUGUGUGCUGUGUUGAUGGCUACAGAGAAUAUUGACAAGGAACAGUCAAAACUGCCCUACUUCAGCACCGAGGGAAGUUAUUCUUCUUGUGAGGGACUUGUCUACACUGAACUGAAGGCAUUUCUAACCUCUGGAGUUUCAAAUUUUUAAAACUGACUUGUGACAAUAUUUUUGCUCAAGGAAUUCUAAAAAGAGGCAUAAUAUUUUCAAAAUGUUGUCCUGAUGGUUCUUCCUUACAUUAAUUGAAAAACUUGAUGACUCUAGGAGGCUGCCUAGUUACUGUAGCCUGACAAGCCUGAUGAAAGCUGCUCACUCUCUGGCCUCCUCUCCGUCUACUCCUCUCCUAGAUCACAGCCCU
Molecule: long non-coding RNA, 599 nt
Filed under: Canis lupus familiaris (dog)
Lineage: Eukaryota; Metazoa; Chordata; Mammalia; Carnivora; Canidae
Description: lncRNA (ENSCAFG00000048010.2, ENSCAFG00845028371.1)
Source: RNAcentral